AGAGUUUGAUCAUGGCUCAGAUUGAACGCUGGCGGAUGCCUUACACAUGCAAGUCGAACGGCAGCGCGGGGCAACCUGGCGGCGAGUGGCGAACGGGUGAGUAAUAUAUCGGAACGUACCCUGGAGUGGGGGAUAACGUAGCGAAAGUUACGCUAAUACCGCAUACGAUCUAAGGAUGAAAGUGGGGGAUCGCAAGACCUCAUGCUCCUGGAGCGGCCGAUAUCUGAUUAGCUAGUUGGUGGGGUAAAGGCCUACCAAGGCAUCGAUCAGUAGCUGGUCUGAGAGGACGACCAGCCACACUGGAACUGAGACACGGUCCAGACUCCUACGGGAGGCAGCAGUGGGGAAUUUUGGACAAUGGGCGCAAGCCUGAUCCAGCAAUGCCGCGUGAGUGAAGAAGGCCUUCGGGUUGUAAAGCUCUUUUGUCAGGGAAGAAACGGUGAGGGCUAAUAUCCCUUGCUAAUGACGGUACCUGAAGAAUAAGCACCGGCUAACUACGUGCCAGCAGCCGCGGUAAUACGUAGGGUGCAAGCGUUAAUCGGAAUUACUGGGCGUAAAGCGUGCGCAGGCGGUUUUGUAAGUCUGUCGUGAAAUCCCCGGGCUCAACCUGGGAAUUGCGAUGGAGACUGCAAGGCUAGAAUCUGGCAGAGGGGGGUAGAAUUCCACGUAGCAGUGAAAUGCGUAGAGAUGUGGAGGAACACCGAUGGCGAAGGCAGCCCCCUGGGUCAAGAUUGACGCUCAUGCACGAAAGCGUGGGGAGCAAACAGGAUUAGAUACCCUAGUAGUCC
Molecule: ribosomal RNA, 788 nt
Filed under: uncultured bacterium
Lineage: Bacteria
Description: bacterial SSU rRNA
Rfam family: Bacterial small subunit ribosomal RNA
Source: RNAcentral